UGCAGUCGUACGCUUCCUUCCUCCCGAGUGCUUGCACUCAAUUGGAAAGAGGAGUGGCGGACGGGUGAGUAACGCGUGGGUAACCUACCCAUCAGAGGGGGAUAACACUUGGAAACAGGUGCUAAUACCGCAUAACAGUUUAUGCCGCAUGGCAUAAGAGUGAAAGGCGCUUUCGGGUGUCGCUGAUGGAUGGACCCGCGGUGCAUUAGCUAGUUGGUGAGGUAACGGCUCACCAAGGCCACGAUGCAUAGCCGACCUGAGAGGGUGAUCGGCCACACUGGGACUGAGACACGGCCCAGACUCCUACGGGAGGCAGCAGUAGGGGAUCUUCGGCAAUGGACGAAAGUCUGACCGAGCAACGCCGCGUGAGUGAAGAAGGUUCUCGGAUCGUAAAACUCUGUUGUUAGAGAAGAACAAGGACGUUAGUAACUGAACGUCCCCUGACGGUAUCUAACCAGAAAGCCACGGCUAACUACGUGCCAGCAGCCGCGGUAAUACGUAGGUGGCAAGCGUUGUCCGGAUUUAUUGGGCGUAAAGCGAGCGCAGGCGGUUUCUUAAGUCUGAUGUGAAAGCCCCCGGCUCAACCGGGGAGGGUCACUGGAAACUGGGAGACUUGAGUGCAGAAGAGGAGAGUGGAAUUCCAUGUGUAGCGGUGAAAUGCGUAGAUAUAUGGAGGAACACCAGUGGCGAAGGCGGCUCUCUGGUCUGUAACUGACGCUGAGGCUCGAAAGC
Molecule: ribosomal RNA, 732 nt
Filed under: uncultured bacterium
Lineage: Bacteria
Description: bacterial SSU rRNA
Rfam family: Bacterial small subunit ribosomal RNA
Source: RNAcentral